CCUACGAGAGGCAGCAGUGAGGAAUAUUGGUCAAUGGGCGCGAGCCUGAACCAGCCAAGUAGCGUGAAGGAUGACUGCCCUACGGGUUGUAAACUUCUUUUAUAAAGGAAUAAAGUGAGGCACGUGUGCCUUUUUGUAUGUACUUUAUGAAUAAGGAUCGACUAACUCCGUGCCAGCAGCCGCGGUAAUACGGAGGAUCCGAGCGUUAUCCGGAUUUAUUGGGUUUAAAGGGAGCGUAGAUGGGUUGUUAAGUCAGUUGUGAAAGUUUGCGGCUCAACCGUAAAAUUGCAAUUGAUACUGGCAGUCUUGAGUACAGUUGAGGUAGGCGGAAUUCGUGGUGUAGCGGUGAAAUGCUUAGAUAUCACGAAGAACCCCGAUUGCGAAGGCAGCUUACUAAACUGUGACUGACAUUGAUGCUCGAAAGUGUGGGUAUCAAACAGGAUUAGAUACCCUAGUAGUC
This 460-nucleotide ribosomal RNA is filed under the name uncultured bacterium. Its description in RNAcentral is "partial 16S ribosomal RNA". It matches the Rfam family "Bacterial small subunit ribosomal RNA", at positions 338 to 795 of the family's 1533-position model. The record is from RNAcentral.